Long non-coding RNA from Brassica napus (rape), 2162 nucleotides. RefSeq lists it as uncharacterized. The record is from RefSeq and is a predicted model, not a curated record. The transcript is spliced from 4 exons. NCBI's taxonomy places the organism in Eukaryota, Viridiplantae, Streptophyta, Magnoliopsida, Brassicales, Brassicaceae.
AACCAUAAACAAAUCCUCAAGAUGAACUCACCUAAAAGAAACUUCAUAUAUAUUCUAUGCUACAUACUUACUAUCUCCAUAACGGUGGCAUUUUUUAACAGUUCUGAACCUUUGCAACCAGAUGGUAUUUUUGUCAGUUAUGCGACGCUCUCAAUUUAUAAUUGUAAUAACUUUUCCAUGGGAGUCCAUUGUAAAUCAGGCGACAAAGAUAUAGGUUUUCGCGUUGUUAACAAGGGUGGAUUAUAUGAAUACAGAGUUCGUAUUGGUCUUCAGAAGACUACACUCUUCUUCUGUGGAUUUAGCCAUGGAAAAAUAAAGAAAGGCAUAUUUGACCUCUACGAUGCGUCUAGAGAUUCCGAUAGAUGUAACAAGUGCACAUGGAAAGCUGUGGGAAAUGGUAUUUAUGGAUAUACUGAUAAACCACAUCAAGCUGUCCUGUUUUAUAAAUGGAUAAAGUGAUAUGCAAGUGAGUUUAUUUAAGAAAUGUGUAAUACUAUGAACUAAAAUCUUUAUAUAUAAAAGAGGGUUGUAUCCCUCCUCCUUGUGCCACAUGGGAUGCCACAUAGAUAACUCGUGAGCUCUCGCGACGACACGUGGCAACGCAGCGUUUCAUUAAACUUGAAAUCUGGGCUUAAUUCAUUCGUCGUGUAUUGGGCUAUAGGUUUGUUGUUCCCGGCCCGAUAGACGUUGCCAGCCUCGGUGACUUCUGAUCUUCUUCACGUCUUCUGGAACGGAAUGUGUUAUGGCUUUUUUCCGUGAUAAAUCUCAUUAAUUCAGAUGCCCACUACAAGUUCUUCAAUGUGUUAUUGCGUCGGCGAGGCUGUGGGAUUUCGGGUAUAAAUAUGUCAGUAUUUCUCUUCUGGAAAUCAUCCUCUCUUCAUCUCCCUUCUACUCAUCUCUCUUAUAUAGUGUUCUUCUCCGAUUUGAAGUCCCGCAAGUGUUCAUCCGUUGAAUAGCCAGAGAGAAGAUUAAAAGUGAAGAGAGUAAUAAGGAUUCUGCUCUGAUCGAUGAUAAGCCUCCUACUGCAGCCUCUGUGAACGUUUUUCUCAGACAGGCAUUGCAUGCUGAUGUUCGGUCUCUUCUGCUUGAUUGAUUGUACAACCGAGAUGAACAGGAAUCCAGAUCGUAGCUCUAUAGGUUCACAUGAUCCAUCAAGACCCAAAAUGUUCAUAUUCAUCUGUACAUCCAAUUGUUCCCAUAAAGGAAUAUAAUGAAAUCAUCUAAGCUGUUCGUCGGUCAGACUAUCUUGGAAGACCACUGAAUAUCGAGAGUAGUUUCCACUGGCUGUGCUCAUGGCUUUGGUUUCUUUUUCUUUGCUGGUCCCAGUGUUGGUGUGAUAGCCAUAUUGCUCAUUCACAUCACUGAUGUUAAAACUAUAGUUUUACUCGCUAAAAAGUUAAAUGUGGAAUGGUUUGUCGACCAGUGACAUGGAGACGAUGGAUCUGGGACUAUUCUAAGGAUCACCGCUAUUCUAUUUAACUAGAGCAUGUGUCAUUCAAGUUCAUGGAACCUUGGUAACAUUCGGAGUUGGUCAUGUGCUCAAACUCUGGUAUCCAAAAACAAAGUAGCGAUGGACAUUGCAGGUAGUGUGACGUGAGAGCACAGAUUCCAAUCUUAUAUUGCAAGGUUUGGCCCAAGUUGGAUACAAUAACAUCUGCUAACUGAAGCUCUUGACUAGCAUGGUCUGAAGGGAUUAAGGGUGAAUUUCCAUUUUCAUGUCCCUUAUGCCAUUGCCUAAUUCGUUUUUUCUUUAUAUUUUUUUUGUAUGGAAACAGUUGAAUUUAUCAAAAGGAAUCAUUCAGUGUAAAAAAAGAGCAUGCGUCAUUGGUAUCAACAAAUUUCAGGAUUUGAUUUUCGUAUUUUUUAUCAUAGUUGUAAGAAUAUUUGUAUCCGUUUGAGAUUUAAGAUUUCACAUUUUGGUUUCAACCUUAAAAAUCUCUGACCACAAACUCAUACCAAAACAUGGAGGACUUUUUUUACCAAAUGACACUCUUUUUUUCCUACAAAAAUAUGCUUUGUUUUCUAUACGUGCAGUGACUACAAUUUCAUUUUUGAGGUGUUUUACCUUUGUAUUGGUUUGUUGAUACUCCAUUGAUGGUAAACAGAAUGCUCCGGAACGGAAAAGUAAAUCUAUACUAAUACCAAAAUAUUUUGCGCACUAA